UCCUGACUUGCUUUUCCCGCCCCACUGAGGGCUUGCGGAGGCUGGGCUUUGGCUUCGGGAGACAGUGGGUUCAAAUCUUGUCUAGGAACUUCAGUGUGCGCACCUGUCAGAGAAGCUGGCACUAAUGGCUGGCACAGAAUGUAUCGGGAAAACAGAUAAGAUAUGGCAUGACUUUUCUGACACCAAGACAAAGUACAUGAACGGAAGUUAACAAGAGCAAGAAAGAAAUCCCUUGUCUGUCCUCAUCAGUCUCUGUUAGAAAGAUGGAGGGUAACAGACAAAGGACACAGAAAGGGAGACGUUAUAGCACCGUUCAUGAAGCUUCACAUACAAGUGCUCCCAUGUGGCAGUCCCAGACUCAAACCCAAGUCUUUGUGCAAGACAUCAAGUUGCAUGAUGCCAACCUGACUUCCCCCAGCAGACAACCUCACUAACGAUACUCUGGAGCCCCACCUCUGCAGAGCCCUGCCCCAUGAGGGAAAGAUAGAAACAGGCUGGGAGUAUGGACUGACCUGCCAACGCCCAUGUCCAAUGGAGAAGCAGUUACAGAAGCCAGACCUUCCACCAUCUGCACCCCAUACCCCAUAAUGAUCCUGGAUCCAUGCUCCCAGAGAGACAAAGAGUAGGAAAGCUUUUUUCAAAGGAGGGGAUGGGAUACAGAGCUCUGGUGGUGGGAAUUGUGUGGAAUUUUACCCCUCUUAUCCUAUGGUCUUGGCAAUAUAUAU
Molecule: long non-coding RNA, 725 nt
Organism: Erinaceus europaeus (western European hedgehog)
Lineage: Eukaryota; Metazoa; Chordata; Mammalia; Eulipotyphla; Erinaceidae
Exons: 4
Source: RefSeq, a predicted model, not a curated record